This 562-nucleotide ribosomal RNA is filed under the name Collimonas sp. Its description in RNAcentral is "bacterial SSU rRNA". It matches the Rfam family "Bacterial small subunit ribosomal RNA", at positions 192 to 750 of the family's 1533-position model. Lineage: Bacteria; Pseudomonadati; Pseudomonadota; Betaproteobacteria; Burkholderiales; Oxalobacteraceae. The record is from RNAcentral.
CGGGGGAUCGCAAGACCUCGUGCUCAUAGAGCGGCCGAUAUCUGAUUAGCUAGUUGGUGAGGUAAAGGCUCACCAAGGCUUCGAUCAGUAGCUGGUCUGAGAGGACGACCAGCCACACUGGGACUGAGACACGGCCCAGACUCCUACGGGAGGCAGCAGUGGGGAAUUUUGGACAAUGGGGGCAACCCUGAUCCAGCAAUGCCGCGUGAGUGAAGAAGGCCUUCGGGUUGUAAAGCUCUUUUGUCAGGGAAGAAACGGGAUGUCCUAAUACGAUGUCCUAAUGACGGUACCUGAAGAAUAAGCACCGGCUAACUACGUGCCAGCAGCCGCGGUAAUACGUAGGGUGCAAGCGUUAAUCGGAAUUACUGGGCGUAAAGCGUGCGCAGGCGGUUAUGUAAGACAGGUGUGAAAUCCCCGGGCUUAACCUGGGAAUGGCAUUUGUGACUGCAUAGCUAGAGUGUGUCAGAGGGGGGUAGAAUUCCACGUGUAGCAGUGAAAUGCGUAGAGAUGUGGAGGAAUACCGAUGGCGAAGGCAGCCCCCUGGGAUAACACUGACGCUCAG